CGAUAUGACCCAAGCUAACAUCACCUUACUGCCAAAACCAGGAAAAUCCCACGACGACCCAGGCCACUACCGCCCCAUCUCCCUCCUGAAUAUUGACCUAAAACUUCUGACUAAGGUCAUGACUACCAGAAUAAACCCCCUCCUACCGAAACUCAUCAACCCUGACCAGGUUGGCUUUAUUCCACAAAGACAGGCGCAAGAUAACACACGGAGAACCAUAGACCUAACCUGGUACGCCAACCACAGACGGAUCCCAACGACAAUCCUUUCCCUAGAUGCCGAGAAGGCCUUCGAUCGCCUUCUCUGGCCUUACCUCUUUGCAGUACUCCGUAAAUUUGGCUUCCCGCCCUAAUUUAUUCAAUUUUUACAAGCAAUGUAUCACUCGCCAACAGCGCAACUGCUAAUACCCAACAUCACCCCUCCCUCCUUCCCCAUACUAAACGGCACCCGCCAAGGCUGCCCCCUUUCCCACCUCCUAUUUGCCAUAUCCCUCGAGCCCCUACUGGAGACCAUACGUAACAACCCACGUAUCGAAGGCAUCCAAGUCCGCAACGAGCUGUUCUCUGUAGCUGCAUAUGCCGAUGACAUUCUCCUGACCCUCACCAACCCCAUUCAGUCCAUAACUGCUCUCUUGGCAACCGUACACGACUACUCAACAAUCUCGGGUUACCAAUUAAACGCUACAAAAUCAGACCUCAUGCCGCUCAAUCUUGACUCCUCCACCAUAAACACCCUCAAACGCAGAUUCCCCUUUCGUAUCUGCCCGACGACUAUAACAUACUUAGGCAUCCAAAUAACCAAUGACACUGACAACCUAUAUGCCGCCAACUACCCCCCCUAUUACACAAAGCUCUCCGGGACCUUGAACGUUGGCAGCCCAUGACCAUCUCGUGGCUCGGGAGGAUAGCCUCGAUUAAAACGAGCAUACUUCCCAAGUUCCUCUAUGCCUUCCAAGCACUACCCAUCCCCUGUAAAAAACACGAUCUUAAACUCUUACAAACGGCAAUAGACCGAUUUCUCUGGAAGGGCAGGAGGCCCAGAGUCCGCAGAACCACACUGUAUGUACCAACACCCUCCGGAGGACUAGGUCUCCCCAAUUUCACGCACUAUCUACAUGCCGCUCACCUCACACAAAUCCAGCACUGGCACCUUCCCCCCGCUCACAAGAGAUGGG
Molecule: non-coding RNA, 1174 nt
Organism: Pelobates cultripes (western spadefoot toad)
Lineage: Eukaryota; Metazoa; Chordata; Amphibia; Anura; Pelobatidae
Source: the annotation of a GenBank genome assembly